AAAAAAUGACUCUCGGCAACGGAUAUCUCG
RNAcentral lists this ribosomal RNA (30 nucleotides) under Convolvulus canariensis. RNAcentral's name for it is "partial 5.8S ribosomal RNA". Lineage: Eukaryota; Viridiplantae; Streptophyta; Magnoliopsida; Solanales; Convolvulaceae. The record is from RNAcentral.